RNAcentral lists this ribosomal RNA (412 nucleotides) under uncultured bacterium. RNAcentral describes it as "bacterial SSU rRNA". It matches the Rfam family "Bacterial small subunit ribosomal RNA", at positions 355 to 786 of the family's 1533-position model. The record is from RNAcentral.
UAGGGAAUCUUCGGCAAUGGGCGAAAGCCUGACCGAGCAACGCCGCGUGAAGGAAGAAGUAUCUCGGUAUGUAAACUUCUAUCAGCAGGGAAGAAAAUGACGGUACCUGACUAAGAAGCCCCGCUAACUACGUGCCAGCAGCCGCGGUAAUACGUAGGGGCAAGCGGUUAUCCGGAUUUACUGGGUGUAAAGGGAGCGUAGACGGAGCAGCAAGUCUGAUGUGAAAGGCAGGGGCUCAACCCCUGGACUGCAUUGGAAACUGUUGAUCUUGAGUACCGGAGGGGUAAGCGGAAUUCCUAGUGUAGCGGUGAAAUGCGUAGAUAUUAGGAGGAACACCAGUGGCGAAGGCGGCUUACUGGACGGUAACUGACGUUGAGGCUCGAAAGCGUGGGAGCAAACAGGAUUAGAUACC